This 743-nucleotide ribosomal RNA is filed under the name Disepyris sp. Its description in RNAcentral is "partial large subunit ribosomal RNA". It matches the Rfam family "Eukaryotic large subunit ribosomal RNA", at positions 563 to 910 of the family's 3401-position model. Lineage: Eukaryota; Metazoa; Arthropoda; Insecta; Hymenoptera; Bethylidae. The record is from RNAcentral.
AAGAUCGAAUGGGGAGAUUCAUCGUCAACGAUGCUGGCUUCGAGGUGACUCGUGAUGCCCGUGGCUUCGGUCACGCGGUACGCGAUCGUCCCGUUGUGUCCGGCGGCGUCGGCGUGCACUUCUCCCCUAGUAGAACGUCGCGACCCGUUGGGUGCCGGUCUUACGGUACGGGCGGAUGACUGUCGCAUCGUUUAAACGCGCGUGUGACAGACCCCCGUUUUGCCAAUGAAUCCGGCUGCCCGGCGGUACUCCCAUGGUAUCGGGUCGCAAAUUCUCGAACUGCGUCGGGCCCAUUCUGCCCGCUCGUCGGCGUUCGGUGUUACCGUAACAACGGUGAUAUUCCAUUAACCCGACUUGCGUAUGGCGGAUGGUGUCCUCCGACGGGCCAAACAAAAUUUAUAAAAUAGAUACCGGUCGAGCGACGCUACUGCUUUGGGUAAUCUCAGGACCCGUCUUGAAACACGGACCAAGGAGUCUAACAUGUGCGCGAGUCAUUGGGACAGCAUGCCUAAAGGCGAAAUGAAAGUGAAGGUCGGUCUUUAGCGCCGACCGAGGGAGGAUGGGCCUCGUCACGAUGUGGCUCCGCACUCCCGGGGCGUCUCGUUCUCAUCGCGAGAAGAGGCGCACCCAGAGCGUACACGUUGGGACCCGAAAGAUGGUGAACUAUGCCUGGUCAGGACGAAGUCAGGGGAAACCCUGAUGGAGGUCCGUAGCGAUUCUGACGUGCAAAUCGAUCGUCGGAA